CUGAUGUGUUAACUUGAUUUUGGCUUCUUGUUUUUAAAAGUUGCAUAUCAUGAUUUGUGUUGUUGAUUCCCAAUCCUGAUGGCUCAUAUUUUUGUCAUUGGUUUAGGCUUGUUAAAAAGAAAAGCCAAAGAGGGAAAAGUCUUGGGUUCUAUUUUGAACGUGUACUCCUUGUUAAAAUUGGAGUCUGUCUCCACUCCCCCCACCCACGCCCAACUCCUCCCGCCAAAAAAAAAAAAAAA
RNAcentral lists this long non-coding RNA (239 nucleotides) under Elaeis guineensis (African oil palm). RNAcentral's name for it is "long non-coding RNA (EGUI_LNC082231)". The record is from RNAcentral. Lineage: Eukaryota; Viridiplantae; Streptophyta; Magnoliopsida; Arecales; Arecaceae.